CACAAAAUGACUCUCGGCAACGGAUAUCUCGGCUCUUGCAUCGAUGAAGAACGCAGCGAAAUGCGAUACUUGGUGUGAAUUGCAGAAUCCCGUGAACCAUCGAGUCUUUGAACGCAAGUUGCGCCCGAAGCCAUUAGGCUGAGGGCACGCCUGCCUGGGUGUCACA
Molecule: ribosomal RNA, 166 nt
Filed under: Derris amoena
Lineage: Eukaryota; Viridiplantae; Streptophyta; Magnoliopsida; Fabales; Fabaceae
Description: 5.8S ribosomal RNA
Rfam family: 5.8S ribosomal RNA
About the family: 5.8S ribosomal RNA (5.8S rRNA) is a component of the large subunit of the eukaryotic ribosome. It is transcribed by RNA polymerase I as part of the 45S precursor that also contains 18S and 28S rRNA. Functionally, it is thought that 5.8S rRNA may be involved in ribosome translocation.
Source: RNAcentral